RNAcentral lists this long non-coding RNA (859 nucleotides) under Athene cunicularia (burrowing owl). RNAcentral's name for it is "lncRNA (ENSACUG00000007721.1)". Lineage: Eukaryota; Metazoa; Chordata; Aves; Strigiformes; Strigidae. The record is from RNAcentral.
GUGCUGUCAAGGUUGGGGGUUGCAAACAGCCCUCCCAGAGGCUCUCUACAGCAAUUCCUACCGUGGCUUCUUGCUCCCAUCUGUGGCCGCGGGGAAAAGCAGCUUCCCUCAAGCGCUCUUGCCUUGACCCCACUUCAGGAUCGACUACACAGGAGCUGAUGUGCAAUAGGACCCUAGAGCGGAAGGAAAACAAUAAGAGCAAAGAACAGGUGGUUGCAGCAUGGACUGUCUUAGGAGCAGAUAAGGCUGACCAGACGUGGGUGUGUUUGGAGUCCUCUUUUUCCAGUGAGUUGGCCCCUGGCCCGACUCUGGGGCAUGGGGAUGCAGUCCCUGCUGAGCAGUCUGCAGGUGAUCAGCUGUCCCAGGAGCUGAAGCGCGUAAAGAACGAGCUGGAGCAAGUGAAGAGUGAGCUUGCUGACAAGACUGCCCUGUGUGAAGUCUAUACCCAGAUGAUCUCCUCCUUGCAGCGUCAGCUCAAAGCAGCAGGUAUGUUCCGUCGCUGGGGUGAGCCCUGGCCCCUGGGCAGGCUGCAGGGCUGCUCCAGUGAUCUCUUGCCAGCAUAACUGGGGGCUGCCGGGUGGAAGGGACAAAGCUCGUGGCCUUCCCUGUGGAGGAAUUGCCCAGUGCUGGGAGCAGCAGUACUUGAUGCUCCUGUUGUUCCCCAGGAAUCUGUCUGGAAGAUGCACCAGUGGAGGAGAGUGGUAACUUGGGGAGAGACUGACAGCCAGCACGUGGGGACAGACUCACAACCGCCACUUGUCUGUCUGCCUGAGGUGCUGCGCCAGUGAUAUUUGUGGAGCUCUUGAAUGUAUGAAAUUUUAACUCCUUGCAUUUAAAAUAAAGGUAUCUUUUCCCAGUG